GGUCCGGUAGCUCAGUGGUAGUGCGCCUAUAUGUGGUGAAAAUCUCGGUUAUCGAGAUCGAGGUUUUCGAGAUCCUCCCUAAUCCUACUUCCGAUCUCUACUUCGAUAUCUACUUCUAGCCGAUCUCUAGUAACAACUACGAGGAGUUCGCAGGUUCGAAUUCUGCCCGCUUUG
Molecule: non-coding RNA, 174 nt
Organism: Meloidogyne enterolobii
Lineage: Eukaryota; Metazoa; Nematoda; Chromadorea; Rhabditida; Meloidogynidae
Source: the annotation of a GenBank genome assembly